GCCCUCGUAGCUCAAUGGUAGAGCGCGUCACUAGUAAUGACGAGGUUGCCGGUUCGAUUCCGUCCGGGGGCA
RNAcentral lists this transfer RNA (72 nucleotides) under Blumeria graminis f. sp. tritici 96224. Its description in RNAcentral is "tRNA-Thr (AGT) (tRNA-Thr-AGT-4-1)". It matches the Rfam family "tRNA". Rfam says of the family: Transfer RNA (tRNA) molecules are approximately 80 nucleotides in length. Their secondary structure includes four short double-helical elements and three loops (D, anti-codon, and T loops). Further hydrogen bonds mediate the characteristic L-shaped molecular structure. tRNAs have two regions of fundamental functional importance: the anti-codon, which is responsible for specific mRNA codon recognition, and the 3' end, to which the tRNAs corresponding amino acid is attached (by aminoacyl-tRNA synthetases). tRNAs cope with the degeneracy of the genetic code in two manners: having more than one tRNA (with a specific anti-codon) for a particular amino acid; and 'wobble' base-pairing, i.e. permitting non-standard base-pairing at the 3rd anti-codon position. The record is from RNAcentral. Lineage: Eukaryota; Fungi; Ascomycota; Leotiomycetes; Helotiales; Erysiphaceae.